Podospora aff. communis PSN243 is the source of this 109-nucleotide non-coding RNA. Lineage: Eukaryota; Fungi; Ascomycota; Sordariomycetes; Sordariales; Podosporaceae. The record is from the annotation of a GenBank genome assembly.
GGGCGGGUAGCGUAGUGGUCGGCGCGUUCACUUAACCCGCAUCAGCGUUAGUUUGUCAUGCUGAGCGUUCUUCAGCGAGAAGUCCUGGGUCCAAAUCCCAGCGCGCCCA